CAGUCGCCGCGGGAAUACGUAGGUGGCAAGCGUUGUUCGGAAUUACUGGGCGUAAAGCGCACGUAGGCGGCUUGGUAAGUUAGAGGUGAAAGCCCGGAGCUCAACUCCGGAAUUGCCUUUAAGACUGCCGAGCUAGUAGGUGAGAGAGGUAAGUGGAAUUCCGAGUGUAGAGGUGAAAUUCGUAGAUAUUCGGAAGAACACCAGUGGCGAAGGCGGCUUACUGGCUCAUUCUAGACGCUGAGGUGCGAAAGCGUGGGGAGCAAACAGGAUUAGAUACCCCUGUAGUCCCUGUCUCUUAUAC
This 301-nucleotide ribosomal RNA is filed under the name uncultured bacterium. RNAcentral's name for it is "partial 16S ribosomal RNA". It matches the Rfam family "Bacterial small subunit ribosomal RNA", at positions 509 to 807 of the family's 1533-position model. The record is from RNAcentral.